AAGUCGUAACAAGGUCUCCGUUGGUGAACCAGCGGAGGGAUCAUUACCGAGUUUACAACUCCCAAACCCCUGUGAACAUACCUAUCGUUGCUUCGGCGGAUCCGCCCCGGCGCCCUCGGGCCCGGAUCAGGCGCCCGCCGGAGACCCCAAACUCUUGUAUUUCUUUAGUAUCUUCUGAGUAAACAAGCAAAUAAAUUAAAACUUUCAACAACGGAUCUCUUGGUUCUGG
This 229-nucleotide unclassified non-coding RNA is filed under the name Fusicolla aquaeductuum. RNAcentral describes it as "partial internal transcribed spacer region". The stretch from base 1 to 46 matches the Rfam family "Eukaryotic small subunit ribosomal RNA", at positions 1786 to 1831 of the family's 1831-position model. Lineage: Eukaryota; Fungi; Ascomycota; Sordariomycetes; Hypocreales; Nectriaceae. The record is from RNAcentral.